This 197-nucleotide unclassified non-coding RNA is filed under the name uncultured Phanerochaete. Its description in RNAcentral is "sequence contains ITS1". Lineage: Eukaryota; Fungi; Basidiomycota; Agaricomycetes; Corticiales; Corticiaceae. The record is from RNAcentral.
ACGAGUUUUUGAAACGGGUUGUAGCUGGCUCUCCAAACGAGGGCAUGUGCACGCCUGACUCAAUCCACUCUUAAACCUCUGUGCACUUACUGUAGGCUUGGUGAUUGAAGGACUCGCAAGAGUCUUGAUAGAGCCUUGUCUAUGCUUUUACAAACGCUUCAGUUUAAGAAUGUUACUCGCGUUUAACGCAAUAAAUA